AUGAAGUUAGAAGCUGUCUUGGUUUGAUCAAACCAUAUUUAACGCUUCUCCUUUCUGAUCUAUUCCAGUUUGGCAGCUCCUUUUCCACUUUUCCAUCUCCAUUCUUGCAGUCACCAAGCAGAAUAAAAAGAUGAUCUGUUCUCUUUUGAUUUAUUAUUUAUGAAGCCUCGACACUAGAUGGGAUGCCCCAAGCUUCUCCAGCUGAACAGCUGAAGGUUUUAGCACUGGGGUGUUGGCACUGCAUUUUUCUCUGUUGCUUUUCCUAACUUCAUGUCAAAAUCAUCGCCCGGACCAUGCCACUCUCAUGUUUUCUCUACAGAAACAUGCAAGGAUACCUGGAGACACUCCGGUAGUUUAAUUCCAUCUCAUUAUAUGGAGACCUUCUGACAAUGUCCCUCUAGAUUAUCACAAUGAGAUUUUAUUUUAAUUUGCCAUUAAACCCUUCUUACGUUAAAAGAAGGUUGCCUUAAAAAAGAAGCAUUUUAUGUUCUCAGUUUUUUCCAUUUGUGUGUGCUGGUUUAUUCUUCCUUCCCUGGUGACUCUUGGACCUACCAAUCCAUUUCUACCAAAUCUAAGAAAAGAAUAUGUUUUACUGAUCCUUUCAUCGCUUGCAGCUCACGUGGCUGUAGUUGGGGGGGGCUACAGAAAGGAGUCGAGUGCUUUACCCCCAUGUGAGUGCUGGUCAUGACCCAGCCCUAACGCUUCUCUUCCCCCAGAUCAAUGCCUGUACGACAUCCAGAGCUCCCUGUGACAUGGAGUGAUGCUUUUUGCACAGAGGAAUACUUCCAGAGUAUUUUAUGAGGAUUUAAUUGAUCAUGUAAGAAAUGCAAUGAUCAGAGAAGGCAACAGAUGAAGAGUCUGAUGAAGAGCAGGGAAAACUCCCUUUUUUAAGGUCAAGUUCUUGUGGUUUGUGCUGACAGAUACCUACUUCAUGCCAUGGUUUGUUAGCAGACAUAGUUAUGCUUGGUGCAUGUUUGGUCCUGGACUGCUUGCUAGCAACAGUUGUGUCUGAUUCCUGCCUGGGAUACAUUUAUAUAUUUUAUUAAAUCUAUAUAUCCCUCAUUAUAUAUAUAUAUAUAAUGAUGUGGGAUUUUGUGCUGGAGAGAGGGCAAGGGCAUAAAAUCUCUUCUUUCUCUUCUCUUCUCUUCUCUUCUCUUCUCUUCUCUUCUCUUCUCUUCUCUUCUCUUCUCUUCUCUUCUCUUCUCUUCUCUUCUCUUCUCUUCUCUCCUCUCCUCUCCUCUCCUCUCCUCUCCUCUCCUCUCCUCUCUCUCCUCUCCUCUCCUCUCCUCUCCUCUCCUCUCCUCUCCUCUCCUCUCCUCUCCUCUCCUCUCCUCUCCUCUCCUCUCCUCUCCUCUCCUCUCCUCUUUUUCCUCAGGGAUUUAGUGAUCCAGUAUCAGAAGCUAAAUGUCCAUCAGUGCUCAGUGUGUCAUCUUCCACACAGUCCUGCGUGCUCGUGUCUUUCCAGUUCGCUGGCAUCUCUUUUUGCCGAAAGCAUGAAAUCACAAAGAAUUCCCUGUUCACACAGGCAAGUGUUUGUGCUGUGCUAAUUUCUACGGUCUCUCUCUCCACGUUAGGAAUUCAUUAUGGUCAAGAUGGUGUGUCUAUGUACAUGCCUAAACCAGCAUCAUGUUUCCUGCACAAAGAACUAAAAAUAGGUAACUGCAACCUGCCAUUAUGAUUUUGUUGUAUCAGUUUGCGGGGUUAUUUCUCAUAGCUCGUGCUACACUUGAGACAGAUUCACUCGCUCAUGGACCAGGUCUGAUUUAGGUGAUCCUCCUGUGAAAUGAGACUCGUGCAUCCACUUGCUUCGUGGAAGAAGACCUUGGCUUCUGCAGCGGUGUGAGCAUGGCAGCUCUGAGUGCUCACAGGAGGAACGACCAUGGGCACAUGGUGAGAAGGUCCCUGCUUGCCAGGGGUUAACCAGCUGAGAGGUGUGGAAAAUCCAUCCCUGCUCUGUGUUGUCUUGUUUAAAGCAUAACAGUGUGUCAGCGAGCCAACAUCUUAAACAAUUUCCAUAUUGCACCGGGACUACAGGAAUGGGAAUAAGCGAGCCAUUUGAGUUUAGUAUGCAGGGCUGCUGGUUUGUUUUCCCCUUUGGAGAAGGGAGCAGGACAGGUCACGAUCCCUUAUUGUUUCAAAAAAUCGUUUUACGUAUUGCCUCAUUUACCAAUUCCAAUGUUAGGAGUUCUGGAAAGCCUCAUCUCAGCGUACCUAACAUCCGAGGCGCUGGCUGUUGGCAGUGCGAUGCGAGGAGCGUUCGUCGAAGCUCGGGGAUUUCACACCAGGCAGAAGAAACCGCUUGGACCCUGACAACUCGGGAGGGAGCAUCAGCAUCGCAGAGCCAGUGCUGGCGACAAGGAGCACUCCCUGAGCUGGCAUUUGGCAUCUGCAGCCUGGGCUCUCUGAAUUUCUAAAGCAGGUUCAUUGCAGCCAGCCACUCGUGGAAAGAACAGGGUUUUAAACAUGGUCCCUCUGGGCUCCACAGCUGAGCUCUGGAAUAACUUCAACAGUGAUGCUUCCGUGCUGUCUGUGAGAAUGCACCCAAAAUGGCUGGUCCUGCGUCCAGGGGAUCUUGAAAAGCCCCUGUCCAGGGUCUCUCGAAAAGAGCUGCCAGCCCCGCUUGCUUGCCCCCUCCUCACCAGUGAGGAGGCUGCCUCCAGUUCCAGCUCUGUCCUAGGUUUUGUUGGGAGACAACGAGAAAGCAGCUUCCACUAAAGGAGGUGGGCACAACGGGCUGCUGCUGGCUCUAGGCUGCUGCAAAAGUAAGUGGCAAUGAAAAAAAGUGAAUGCACAAGCACAAAAUGCUUCUUGUUUAGUUUGCUACUUUUCCUAAUGAACAACCAUUUUAUUUUGACAGAAGGUUGGCUUUGAUGUUAUCAUCUUUUGGAAGAAGUACCCAUCUUACUGUAGGAAGCAGGGCAAAGCUGCUUUGGGUGAGACCUUUGGGGACAGUGAUGAGGCCAACGGGAUCCUUUAGAUUUGCAGGGGGUUUACAGGACUCCAGUUAGCAAAGGAGCCAGGUAUGGGCUGGUGUCCCCAUAUUCCAGCAAGGAGCUAGGGAGGGCAGGAUGGCAAAUCUGCACAAAAUAUUUGUAAUUUAUCAGAAGUAAAAAGCUCGUGCUAGGCAGAAGCAGUUGUUAAAAAAUAAUAAAAAAAAAAAUCUCCAGUCCGAGCCCUGACUAAAGCUGGUUUCCAUGGAAAUAAUGGAAGUUGCAUCAUCUUCACACCUUGUUGACCACACAAUUUCCAUGGGAGCCCGUGGGUCCCCAGGUGAGGAAAAACUGGCUCAGAGCCGGAACAGCAAUGGGCUCAGAGAGCUCUGAUAUGUUUAAUCUUGGCAAUUUGCCCUUUGGCCGAAAGCCACCACAAAUGGAGAUAUCUGAAACAUCAGAACUGUGUGGAAGGGCGUUGAACAAGCCUCAUCUGAUCUCCCUCUGUCUUUAGCUCUACUGACUUCAGCAGAAUCACCCUAAGGUGCAGAUUUAUUCCUGAUUUAUUCCAGAUUUAAAAGGCUUGAAUCAGUUCGUUCAUUCAAAAGCCGCCCUGAUCAGGUUAAUGAAAAAUCUGUCCAACAACACUUUCAUUCUUUGAGAAGUUAUUUGAAGCAGCUGGAAAGGACAGUUUCGUGGCUAAAACUCUUGCUUGCUGCUGCUCAGUGCCCAUCCAUUGAGUUUGGUGGUAGACUAAACUAUGAGGUGUUGCCCUUGCUUUCUCAUUGAGUCAGAGCAAUGCUAAAAAUUAGCAAAGAGGAUACCAAAAUGUUUAUCUUGUUUCUGGGAUUGACUAUCCAUGCAAAUCAUGCAUGCUGAAAUCAUUGUGAGUGCAAGGAUUUCCAAGAGCAGCCACGGGAUGCUCAGGAUUUGUGCCUUAGAGGGAGCUUGGUCUUCUGCAGGUUGGCAGCAGAAAAGAAAUUCAUUCUUGUUUCAGUCGAGGUGUGAAUUUGGGAUGCAACAGGGAUGUAGCUCUCAGACCAGAGCUCAGAGAACUGCACUUUAAUCUGAAGGCUUCCGUCAUUCAAAAGCAACAUACUUACAUCAGUGCUGGCUUGGACUGCAAGCAUCAGGUUACGGCAUCCAGGAAAACUGGGAAUGUGCCAUUGCCAAGCACACAGAGAAGAGUUGGCUCAUUUUGAUGGCCUGCUGGCCAUCAUUGAUCAACAUUUGGGUAUCAGCGGCCAAACGAGGCAAUUAGGAAAGAGCAGGAGUGUAAAAGCCGCAGCUUUCUCCCGGCCAUGAAUAGUAGCAGGCAGCUGAUGGAGAAGGGUCUUGCUUCCCAGCGAGCGAGGUCCGAAGAGGUUGCUCUUAAUUAUCUUCUUGCUCCCAGCAGGAGAGAUCAGUGCAGCCCCAUGUGCAAUGCUCGUUUAGGAAGAAUCGCAUCGACUCCUGCAAGGCCCUUAGUGAAGGGGUUUUAAUCAAGGCUGGAAGGGGACUUUGGAGAUCCGGCAUUGUGGAGGUCAGGCUUGAGGGGUCCCAGGGACAGGUCUGAUUCAGCUCUUCAGAAAACACAGUGAUUUCUUUCCAAUUCUUCAGACGAGAAAGAAAUAGAAACGUAUUUAAACAACCAAACUUCCACUGAUCCUCUUGAAAUGAAGCUGGACUGAAGGGACUUCUGCAGGACGGACACCUCUGUGGCUGUCCACCACAUGGUUGCUUUGCUGGCACCGUCUGCAGCUUGUCCUCGCUGGGGACCCGCUCCCUCAAAGAGCUUGUCCACAUGGCCUCAGGGCAGAUUUUGGCUAAGAGCUCCACUGAUGGAUGAGCAUCACGAUCAGGCUGGUUUGUUAGAAAACAAGACAGACUUUAGCAGCUGCUCGCUUCUGCAGAUACGCCUCUGGCAUGCACACAUGGAAUGGAUUUGGGAGGAAAGAUGUCAUUUUUGUGACCCCGCUUUCCUGAAUGCAGUCCUGGCUUUGCAGACAAAAUAAGCGCCGUGGCGGGGUCCCCAGGCACGGCUCCAGCCCAAAGCUGCAAGUUAGCACAGAUCUGCUCUCUCUCAGCGGGAUUUACCCAUCACCUUCCACUUCCUAGCAGGAGUCACCGCCAGCAGUGCAGUGAAGGAGGACAUGUCAAUGCAGCCUCCUCUCGAAGGCAGACUGAAAAAGCGGUAAAAGAAAAUACACAUCUAGAACCGGAGGAGAGGGAGGACAGCAUCGUGCUAAAAAUCCACUUCCCUGCUCAUUGGCAUCCUGCCGCUGGCCAGCCCCCAGGUUUUCUGCCAGUUGGGUGUGAAAAAAAGUAGCCUAAGACAGUAAGAGCCGAGCUGCCCAUCCACCUUCUCCAUGCCAUGCCUUCUCCAUGCCUUACAGCAAAGGUCCCGGACUGCGAGAUACAAAGCACGUCGAUGGACCAGAGUUGCUUCCUUCUUCGGCAGCCGAAAGGGUCCGUGGUGGAUGGGAUGUCUGGGACUCGAAGGAAGUUGUUAGUGGGAUUGGUAACCAAAACUGAAAUCCCAUGUCAUCGCAUAUGCAGCUUUGUUGUACCCGACCUCCUCUCUGUCUCUUCUGCAAAAAGAAAAAAAAAAAGGAAAUCUUCUGCAUUUGCCUGUAAAGCUGUGUGAGUUGGCUUCCUUUUCUCCUGGGUGAAAAAAAAAAAAGGCCAAAAAAAAAAAAGCACCUUUGUUUUUUAUAACUUCCAAAGAGCCUUUUCCUGCCAGUCCAAAACACAGAAUUAGAGAUUAGAGAUUGUAUUUUCCCUUCACUUU
Molecule: long non-coding RNA, 5700 nt
Organism: Cygnus olor (mute swan)
Lineage: Eukaryota; Metazoa; Chordata; Aves; Anseriformes; Anatidae
Exons: 6
Source: RefSeq, a predicted model, not a curated record